RNAcentral lists this long non-coding RNA (378 nucleotides) under Homo sapiens (human). Its description in RNAcentral is "HSALNT0405464". The record is from RNAcentral. Lineage: Eukaryota; Metazoa; Chordata; Mammalia; Primates; Hominidae.
GGAAGAAAGAGGGAGGGAGAAAGACCCUAGUGUCUGUCCUCAGCGGCUGCGGCCAGGGCUGGAGAGGUGUUCAUGGCCCAGGAAGGACAGAAAAGAAACCACUGCCUGAGGGUCUGGCUCAGCUCUGCAAUCCCUCCUCCCCAGGAAGCCUCAUUCAAUAUCUUCCUGGGGAUUUUUGGACCCUAGGCUCCGUGACAGGCCCGAACCUGCCAUGGUCCCCUUUGCCCCUGCUGAAGCCCGCAGCACCCAGCACUACGAUUGCAUGUCUAAUCACAGGAAAUCCACUUUGGGAGGCUGAGACAGGAGGAUCCCUCAAGGCCAAGAGUUCAAGACCAGCCUGGGCAACAUAGUGAAACCCCGUCUCUACAUAAAUAAAAA